Molecule: transfer RNA, 78 nt
Filed under: Salmo salar (Atlantic salmon)
Lineage: Eukaryota; Metazoa; Chordata; Actinopteri; Salmoniformes; Salmonidae
Rfam family: tRNA
About the family: Transfer RNA (tRNA) molecules are approximately 80 nucleotides in length. Their secondary structure includes four short double-helical elements and three loops (D, anti-codon, and T loops).
Source: Rfam by way of RNAcentral
UGGCUCAGUUGGUAGAGCAUGGUGUUCGCAAUGCCAGCAUGGUGUGUGCAACGCCAGGGUUGUGGGUUCGAUUCCCAC